GAGAACAGAGGAUCAGGAACAGAAACAUAGAGCUGGAGAACAGAGGAUCAGGAACAGAAACAUAGAGCUGGAGAACAGAGGAUCAGGAACAAAAACAUAGAGCUGGAGACCAGAGGAUAAGGAACAAAAACAUAGCUGGAGAACAGAGGAUCAGGAACAGAAAUAUAGAGCUGGAGAACAGAGGAUCAGGAACAGAAACAUAGAGCUGGAGAACAGAGGAUCAAGAACAGAAACAUAGAGCUGGAGAACAGAGGAUCAGGAACAAAAAAAGAGCUGGAGAACAGAGGAUCAGGAACAGAAACAGAGCUUGAGAACAGAGGAUCAGGAACAGAAACAUAGAGCUGGAGAACAGAGGAUCAGGAACAGAAACAUAGAGCUGGAGAACAGAGGAUCAGGAACAGAAACAUAGAGCUGGAGAACAGGGGAUCAGGAACAGAAACAUAGAGCUGGAGAACAGAGGAUCAGGAACAGAAACAUAGAGCUGGAGAACAGAGGAUCAGGAACAGAAACAGAGCUGGAGAACAGAGGAUCAGGAACAGAAACAUAGAGCUGGAGAACAGGGGAUCAGGAACAGAAACAUAGAGCUGGAGAACAGAGGAUCAGGAACAGAAACAUAGAGCUGGAGAACAGGGGAUCAGGAACAGAAAUAUAGAGCUGGAGAACAGAGGAUCAGGAACAGAAACAUAGAGCUGGAGAACAGAGGAUCAGGAACAGAAACAUAGAGCUGGAGAACAGAGGAUCAGAAACAUAGAGCUGGAGAACAGAGGAUCAGGAACAGAAACAUAGAGCUGGAGAACAGGGGAUCAGGAACAGAAACAUAGAGCUGGAGAACAGGGGAUCAGGAACAGAAACAUAGAGCUGGAGAACAGAUGAUCAGGAACAGAAACAUAGAGCUGGAGAACAGGGGAUCAGGAACAGAAACAUAGAGCUGGAGAACAGAGGAUCAGGAACAGAAACAUAGAGCUGGAGAACAGAGGAUCAGGAACAGGAAACAUAGAGCUGGAGAACAGAGGAUCAGGAACAUAGUGCUGGAGAACAGAGGAUCAGGAACAGGAAACAUACAGCUGGAGAACAGAGGAUCAGGAACAUAGAGCUGGAGAACAGAGGAUCAGGAACAGGAAACAUAGAGCUGGAGAACAGAGGAUCAGGAACAGAAACAUAGAGCUGGAGAACAGAGGAUCAGGAACAGAAACAUAGAGCUGGAGAACAGAGGAUCAGGAACAGAAACAUAGAGCUGGAGAACAGAGGAUCAGAAACAUAGAGCUGGAGAACAGGGGAUCAGAAACAUAGAGCUGGAGAACAGAGGAUCAGGAACAGAAACAUAGAGCUGGAGAACAGGGGAUCAGGAACAGAAACAUAGAGCUGGAGAACAGAUGAUCAGGAACAGAAACAUAGAGCUGGAGAACAGAGGAUCAGGAACAGAAACAUAGAGCUGGAGAACAGAGGAUCAGGAACAGAAACAUAGAGCUGGAGAACAGGGGAUCAGGAACAGAAACAUAGAGCUGGAGAACAGAGGAUCAGGAACAGAAACAUAGAGCUGGAGAACAGAGGAUCAGGAACAGGAAACAUAGAGCUGGAGAACAGAGGAUCAGGAACAUAGUGCUGGAGAACAGAGGAUCAGGAACAGGAAACAUAGAGCUGGAGAACAGAGGAUCAGGAACAUAGAGCUGGAGAACAGAGGAUCAGGAACAGGAAACAUAGAGCUGGAGAACAGAGGAUCAGGAACAGAAACAUAGAGCUGGAGAACAGAGGAUCAGGAACAGAAACAUAGAGCUGGAGAACAGAGGAUCAGGAACAGAAACAUAGAGCUGGAGAACAGAGGAUCAGAAACAUAGAGCUGGAGAACAGGGGAUCAGAAACAUAGAGCUGGAGAACAGAGGAUCAGGAACAGAAACAUAGAGCUGGAGAACAGGGGAUCAGGAACAGAAACAUAGAGCUGGAGAACAGAGGAUCAGGAACAGAAACAUAGAGCUGGAGAACAGAGGAUCAGGAACAGAAACAUAGAGCUGGAGAACAGAGGAUCAGGAACAGAAACAUAGAGCUGGAGAACAGGGGAUCAGGAACAGAAAUAUAGAGCUGGAGAACAGAGGAUCAGGAACAGAAAUAUAGAGCUGGAGAACAGGGGAUCAGGAACAUAGAGCUGGAGAACAGAGGAUCAGGAACAGAAACAUAGAGCUGGAGAACAGAGGAUCAGGAACAGAAACAUAGAGCUGGAGAACAGGGGAUCAGGAACAGAAACAUAGAGCUGGGGAACAGGGGAUCAGGAACAGAAACAUAGAGCUGGAGAACAGGGGAUCAGGAACAGAAACAUAGAGCUGGAGAACAGAGGAUCAGGAACAGAAACAUAGAGCUGGAGAACAGAGGAUCAGGAACAGAAACAUAGAGCUGGAGAACAGAGGAUCAGGAACAGAGACAUAGAGCUGGAGAACAGAGGAUCAGGAACAGAAACAUAGAGCUGGAGAACAGGGGAUCAGGAACAGAAACAUAGAGCUGGAGAACAGGGGAUCAGGAACAGAAACAUAGAGCUGGAGAACAGAGGAUCAGGAACAGAAACAGGAGAGAAGAGAUACAGGAAGCUGGAUCAGGGAUGCAGGAGAGCAGAGACAUACAGGAAGCGGGAUCAGGGAUGCAGGAGAGCAGAGACAUACAGGAAGCGGGAUCAGGGAUGCAGGAGAGCAGAGACAUACAGGAAGCUGGAACAGGGAUGCAGGAGAGCAGAGACAUACAGGAAGCGGGAUCAGGGAUGCAGGAGAGCAGAGACAUACAGGAAGCUGGAUCAGGGAUGCAGGAGAGCAGAGACAUACAGGAAGCUGGAUCAGGGAUGCAGGAGAGCAGCGACACUGUGUGUCUGAUAUGAAACCCUUUCCCUUAUCUAGUGCACUAUUUCUU
RNAcentral lists this long non-coding RNA (2889 nucleotides) under Salmo salar (Atlantic salmon). RNAcentral describes it as "lncRNA (ENSSSAG00000103676.1)". Lineage: Eukaryota; Metazoa; Chordata; Actinopteri; Salmoniformes; Salmonidae. The record is from RNAcentral.